Homo sapiens (human) is the source of this 807-nucleotide long non-coding RNA. RefSeq lists it as uncharacterized. The record is from RefSeq and is a predicted model, not a curated record. NCBI's taxonomy places the organism in Eukaryota, Metazoa, Chordata, Mammalia, Primates, Hominidae. The transcript has 3 exons.
GUCUCAAACUUCUGGCUUCAAACUAUCUGCCUGCCUCAGCCUCCCAAAGUGCUGGGAUUACAGGCGUGAGCACCGUGCCCUGCCUCUCUUCAAGGACUCUCUUUGCUACAUCGGCAUCACCUGGGAACGUGGUAGGGCUACAGAAUCUUGGGCCCCACCUUGGACCUACCUAAUCGUCAUCUUAUUCAUUGGUGUUCCCUUCGCCAGAGACCAGGUCGAUUGUCUUGGAGAAUGUCCCACAUUCAGCAUUUGUCUGCAUGCUUCCUUAUGGUGCCAUGCUCUUGUCCCUCUAUUCCAAGUGAGUGGAAGUUAGCUGGAGAAGUUUGACUAAAUUCAGGAUCAAGUUUUUGUGACAAGAAUAUUUCCUAGCUGGUGCUAUGUGCAUUUGCAUGGCAUCAGGAGGCAGAUGAUAUCUAGUUGGAAACAAGACUUUGGAUUUUACAAGCUAUGCUUUUGUAAGGAAAGGAACACAUUUAAAGGAGCUUUUUGACUGCUGUGCAAAGAAGAGACUGUGUAGGGCUGGGAGACAGAGCGAGGCGACUGUGAGAAUCCAGGCGGCACACAAUGGGGGCCCUGCCGGAGGUGCUGGCAACGGAGGUGUGAGAAGCAGUCAUAUUCUGGAUAUAUUUAGAAGUUUAGGAUUUGCCGACAGAUUGGAUGUGAGGUAAAAGGGAGAGAGAGUGGAGUUAAAGAUGCCUCCAAGGUUUUAGCCUGAGCCACAGCUGCCAAUCAGUGAGGUGGGAAAGACUACAGUGACAUUUUAGGUACCAUCUGCUAGUCCUGCAAUGUCACGACCUGCUUGGUUGU